Molecule: ribosomal RNA, 404 nt
Filed under: uncultured bacterium
Lineage: Bacteria
Description: bacterial SSU rRNA
Rfam family: Bacterial small subunit ribosomal RNA
Source: RNAcentral
UGGGGGAUAUUGGACAAUGGGGGAAACCCUGAUCCAGCGAUGCCGCGUUAGGGAAGAAGGAUUUCGGAUUGUACACCUCUGUGGAGGGGGACGAUAAUGACGGUACCCCUUUAGGAAGCCACGGCUAACUACGUACCAGCAGCCGCGGUAAUACGUAGGUGGCGAGCGUUGUCCGGAAUUACUGGGUGUAAAGGGAGUGUAGGCGGGAAAGCAAGUCAGAAGUGAAAACUAUGGGCUUAACCCAUAGCCUGCUUUUGAAACUGUUUUUCUUGAGUGAAGUAGAGGCAAGCGGAAUUCCUAGUGUAGCAGUGAAAUGCGUAGAUAUUAGGAGGAACACCAGUGGCGAAGGCGGCUUGCUGGGCUUUUACUGACGCUGAGGCUCGAAAGCGUGGGGAGCAAACAGG